AUGGCGACGAUCGGGUGGCCGGACCUCCCGCCCGAGCUUUUGGGCGACGUGCUCUCGCGCUUGCCGUCCUACCUCGAGCACGCCCGCGUUCGCGUCGUGUGCCGCUCCUGGCGCUCCAGCGCGCGGACGCAGCCACCGCCGCCGCCGCUGCUCCCGUGGGCCGGCCUCCGCAACGGCGCCUUCCUCGACCUGGCCGAGGGUGCGCUUGACCGUCUGCCCGUCCCAGAAGCCCACGUCGUCCGCCGGGUCUCCACAGGCCGCCUGCUGUUCCUGGUGCGCCGCGACGGGGCGUGCUCCCCUGAUGGACCCUCACUCCGGCGACAUGACCCCUCAGCACAUCGAGCCCGAGUACCUCUAUGCCCACCUCCAGUUCAGCGACAUCACCCGCCUUGUCGCCGAUAG
Molecule: ribosomal RNA, 402 nt
Filed under: Triticum aestivum (bread wheat)
Lineage: Eukaryota; Viridiplantae; Streptophyta; Magnoliopsida; Poales; Poaceae
Description: partial small subunit ribosomal RNA
Source: RNAcentral